AGAGUUUGAUCCUGACUCAGAACGAACGCUGGCGGCGUGCCUAACACAUGCAAGUCCAACGUGAAAGGGGAGCAAUCCCCCGGUAGGGUGGCAAACGGGUGAGUAAUACAUGGGUGAUCUACCUUAGGGAUGGGGAUAUCCUUCCGAAAGGAGGGGCAAUACCGAAUAUUGUCCGGAGCCGUGAAGGGUUCCGGGGAAAGGGAGGCCUCUGAUACAAGCUUUCGCCUUAAGAUGAGCCCAUGGCCCAUCAGCUAGUUGGUAGGGUAAAGGCCUACCAAGGCUACGACGGGUCGCUGGUCUGAGAGGACGACCAGCCACACUGGCACUGAGAUACGGGCCAGACUCCUACGGGAGGCAGCAGUGAGGAAUAUUGCGCAAUGGGGGAAACCCUGACGCAGCAACGCCGCGUGUGGGAAGAAGGCCUUCGGGUCGUAAACCACUUUUGCACGGGACGAAAAAGGGAUAUCGAACAAAUAUCCCCGACGACGGUACCGUGAGAAUAAGCCACGGCUAACUCUGUGCCAGCAGCCGCGGUAAGACAGAGGUGGCAAGCGUUGUUCGGAAUUACUGGGCGUAAAGAGUCUGUAGGUGGUUUGUCAAGUCUUUGGUGAAAGGCCGUAGCUUAACUAUGGGAAUGCCAAAGAGACUGGCAGGCUGGAGGCU
This 663-nucleotide ribosomal RNA is filed under the name uncultured bacterium. RNAcentral describes it as "bacterial SSU rRNA". It matches the Rfam family "Bacterial small subunit ribosomal RNA", at positions 8 to 649 of the family's 1533-position model. The record is from RNAcentral.